UCCUCUCCUUUGCCAUGGGAACAGGGGUGGGGGCGGGAGGUGAGGGAGCCUGCGCUCGGGCUGCCUGGAAAGAGGAAGGAAGCCUGGCAUCUCUGGACACAUGACCCCCAGGCUUCUUUUUGGUGCUUUCCGUGCUCCUUGGCAGAGGGAUAGCUUCAUGACUCUGGCUUUUCGUGAUAAUUUUGCCAAUAUUUUAUCAGCGGCGCCGGCCGCCUCUGCUGGGAAGGCUGCUCGUCUCCUUCUAGCACUGCCUGGGAAGGCCUAGGAAGCAGUGUGUGGCCAUUGUCUGACUGUGGGGGCUCUGAGGAGAACUCCCUGCACACAUCUGGAAAACCAUGGAGGGCCCUGCCUGUCCCAGAGGUGGGAAGAGCAGGGAGGCUGGCCUGUGGGCAGGCGGGAGGGUAGGUGGGUGUGGGCAGGCAGUGGGCUGGGAAGCUGCAGUUUGAUAAACAAAUCAUCGCCAAGCCACCUUUGGGUCUGGAGAUUAUGAAAGAUCCAGCUCCCGAGUGCCUGCAGCCCGGUGGGCCCAGGGCUGGUUUCUCUAUGUACCUGCAGGCUGGUUAGCUAUCCUUGAGAACAAGAAGACAGGAACAGCCCUUUGGCCAAGGGCUCUAACAUGCCAGAGGCAACAACUGCUUGCAGAGCCAGGACCAGAUAUUUUGCUGCCAGAGCUGAGCAACAAGGCCAGAACUAUCAAGACCUUAUUGAAGCUGUAUCCAGCCAAAACCUACUAUUUCCUCACACACCCCACCCCACCCCCACCUCCUAGCAAGGAAGAGAAAAAAAAAGCAAAAGCUACUGAGAUGAAAAUAAAAUAUAUUUAUUUACUACGUAUUUGUAUGAUUCAUCUCUCUGCUGUCUUCCUUUGUGUAUUGCAUAUCUAUGCUAAGCUAGCGAGUGUGGCUGGACUCCCUCUGCCUCUUACAGCCAAAGAAUUUUGCCUUUUGAUUUUGACAGGCUGGAAUGGUGUUUUGGCUUCAUACCAGGCUCAGGAAAAGAGGAAAAUCCUGUAGCCUCUAUCAGCUAGUGGGUCACAUGUUUGCAUUUGCAUGUUUUCAGGCAAAUAAAGAUGUGAGUUGCCUGUCACUUCUCACUAUCUCUAGGAAAAAAAAAAUGUAUUUAUGAGAGUCCUUUCCCACUAAGUGACAGAAAAGAAAGAUGGCUCAUCUAUUUUUCAAGGAACUAAGAAAAGAAACAGGCAACUGACUCUGCCCUUUUCUCUCUCUGGAAUGCUAAGGAACUCUUGUCCUAUUAGUAACACUGAGUAUUCCUGAAAGAAGGAAACAGACUAUCCUUCUUUUAAGAAAAAGAAAGAAAGAAAAGAAAAAAGAAUCAAUAGAGUUGGAUACUGCAGAAUAUGAGGACUGGCAAAAAUGCCACUACUUUUUAUAAGCAGGGAGAGUGUGUGAAUUUUGCAGUAAUGGAAAAUGAACAGAAGAGAAUGGCUCAGCAGCCUUGGAAGCCCUCCGGGUUCCCCCCAGGAGGAAGUGCUUCUCUAAACAGACACCUGGGGGACACAGCAAGCACAGAGCUUUGAGGGCUUAACUCCAUCAUCAUGGAGGUACCUCCCAAACCCAAGAGUCUGCAAAUGCAGAGAGUAGACAUCAGACCUCACAAGAAAAGGAGUAACACAGCCAUAGGGUGAUAUGGAUAGGGCAUUGGCAGGAGGUCCUUGGGUCACCUGACUAAGCAAAAAAGCUCCCCUUUGAGAUGUGAAAUUCUUAACUUGAUCCUCAUGCCUGAUAUUGUCCCUAAUAGAAACUCUUGCUUAGUUUUUCUUUCACUUCUAUUUAUUUAGUCCUUAUUCUCCACCAGCCACCAUGCUAAGCACUCCCCUGAUUGAGCUCACCAGACUGUCCCACCCAACCUGUGAGAUGGGUGUUUUUACUCAUUUUAUGGGUGAAAAUUUGAAGCUGUGUUCAGAAACGUUGUAGUUAAUGCUCAGUGGCUUCUUCAAGUCAUGCAGUUAAUUGUUGGGUUAUGAAAGGUACUUGGAUGUGUAACACAUUUGACACUGAGUACAACUCCUAAUCAAUGAUUCAAAUGUCAACACUGAAAUAGAGGCAAAGCAUGAGAUUACAAUCAUCCCUUUGUACACAUGGGGAUUGGUAAAACUGUGCAUACUAAGUCCUGCAGUCAGCCCUGUGGAACCUGCUUAUACAAAGAGUCAGCCCUCAGUGUAGGCAGGUUUCAAAUUCUGCAAAUACUGUAUUUUUUUAAAUUUCAACUUUUAUUUUAGAUUCAGAAGGUACAUGUGCAGGUUUUGUUACAUGGGUAUAUUGCAUGAUGCUGAGCUUUGAGAUACACUUGAUUCCAUGACCCAGGUACUGAGCAUAGUACCCAAUAGUUAGUUUUUCAACUCUUGCUCUCCUCCCUCCCUUCCCCCUCUAGUAGUGCCCAGUGUCUAUUUUUGCCAUCUUUAUGUCCAUGAGUACUUAAUGUUUAGCUCCCACUUAUAAGUGAGAAUAUGCAGUAUUUGGUUUUAUGUUCCUGAAUUAAUUUGCUUAGGAUAAUGCCUUACAGUUGCAUCUGUGUUGCUGCAAAGGACAUGAUUUUGUCCUUUUUUAUGGAUGCAUAGUAUUCCAUGGUAUAUAUGUACUACAUUUUCUUUACCCAGUACACUGUUGAUAAACACCUAGGUUGAUUCCGUAUCUUUAUUAUUGUGAAUAGUGCUGCAAUGAACAUAUCAGUGUGUGUAUCCUUUUGGCAGGAUGACUUAUUUUCUUUUGGAUAUAUAUCCAGUAAUGGGAUUGCUAGGUCAAAUGGUAUUUCUGUUUUAAGUUCUUUGAGAAUUCUCCAAAUUGCUUUCCACAGUGGCUGAACUAAUUUACAUUCCCAUCAACAAUGUAAAAGCAUCCCUUUUUCUUUGCAGCCUUGCCAGCAUCUGUUGUUUUUUGACUUUUUAAUAAUUGCCAUUCUGACUGGUGUGAGAUGGUAUCUCAUUGUGGUUUGGAUUUGCAUUUCUCUGAUUAUUAGUGAUGUUGAGCAUUUUUAUUUUUUCAUAUUUAUUCGCCACGUGUAUGUCUUUUUCUUUUUUUUUUUUUUUUCGAGAUAAGGUCUGGCUCUGUUGUCCAGGCUGAUGUUCAGUGUAACAAACAUGGAACACUGUAGGCUCAGCCUCCCAAGCUCAAGCGAUCCUCCCACCUCAGCCUCCUGAGUAGCUAGGACCACAGGUGGGUGCCACCAGGCCCAGUUAAGUUUUGUAUGUUUAUUUUGGUAGAUAUGGGGUUUUGCCAUGUUGCCCAGGCUGAUCUCAAACUUCUGGUCUCAAAUGCUUCAGCCUCCUAAAGUUCUGGGAUUAUAGGCAUGAGCCACUGUGCCCAGCCCACUUCUAUGUCUUCUUUUGAAAAGUGGCUGUUCAUGUCUUUUGCCCACUUUUUAAUGGUUUUUGGGGGCGUGGGGUUUGUUUUUGUUUUGCUUGUUGAAUUGUUUAAGUUCCUUAUAGAUUCUGGAUAUUGGUCCUUUGUCAGAUGCAUAGCUUGCAAAUAUUUUCUUCAUUCUGUAAGUUGUCUGUUUACUCUGUUGAUAGUAUCUUUUGUAGUGCAGAAACUCUUUAGUUUAAUUAGGUCCCAGUUGUCGAUUUUUGUUUUUGUUACAAUUGCUUGCAAGGACUUAGUCAUAAGUUCUUCCCCAAAGCCAAUAUCCAGAAUGGUGUUUCCUAGGUUUUCUUCUAGAAUUCUUAUAGUUUGAGGUCUUACAGUUAAAUCUUUCAUCUAUCUUGAGUUAAUUUUUGUAUAUGGUGAAGGUAAGGGUCCAGUUUCAUUUUUCUGCAUGUGGUUAGCCAACUGUCCCAGCACCAUUUAUUGAAUAGGGAGUCUUUUCUCCAUUGCUUAAUUUUGUCAGCUUUGUCAAAGAUCAGAUGGCUGUAGGUAUGUGGCUUUAUUUCUGGGUUCUCUAUUCUGUUCCAUUGGUCUAUAUGUCUGUUUUUGUAGCAGUACCAUGCUGUUUUGGUUACUGUAGCCUUAUAAUAUAGUUUGAAGUCAGGUAAUGUGAUGCCUCCAGCUUUGUUCUUUUUGCUUAGGAUUGUUUUGAUAAUUUGGGCGCUUUCAUGAGUUCACAUGAAUUUUAGAAUUGUUUUUCUAAUUCUGUAAAAAAUGAUGUUGCUAGUUUGAUAGGAAUAGCAUUGAAUCUAUAAAUUGCUUUGGGCAGUAUGGCUGUUUUAAUGAUAUUGAUUCUUCCAAUCCAUGAGCAUGGAAUGUUUUUUCAUUUGUUUGUGUCAUCUCUGAUUUAUUUCAGUGGUGUUUUGUAGUUCUCCUCGAAGAGAUCUUUCACCUCCUUGGUUACAUAUAUUCCUAGGGUUUCUCUCUCUCUUUCUCUCUCUCUCUCUCUCUCUCUCGCUCGCUCUCUCUCUCUGUGUGUGUGUGUGUGUGUGUGCGUGUCUCUUGUAAAUGGGAUUAUGUUCUUGAUUUGGCUCUCAGCUUCAGUGUUAUAGGUGUAUAGAAAUGCUACUAAUUUUUGUACAUUAAUUUUGUAUCCUGAGACUUCACUGAAGUCAUAGUUUUUAUCAUGAAGGGGUGUUGGAUUUUAGCAAAAGCUUUUUCCAUAUCUUUUGAGAUAAUCAUAUUUUUUUGUUUUUCAUUCCGUUUAUGUGGCGAAUCAAUUUAUUGAUUUGUGUAUAUUGAACCAACCUUGCAUCCUGAGAAUAAACCCUACUUGAUAUGGUGAAUUAACUUCUUGGUGUUCUGCUGGAUUUGAUUUGGUAGUAUUCUGUUGAGGAUUUUUGCAUCUAUGUUCAUCAGGAAUAUUAGCCUGUCAUUUUCUUUUUUCAUUUUGUCUAAAUACUGUAUUUUCAAUCUGCCUUUAGUUGAAAAAGAUCUGUGUAAGUGGAGCUACACUAUUCAAACCUAUGUUGUUCAAGGGUCAUCUGUAUAAGAAAUUCCUAAUCACUUUAUCUGGAGAAGAGGAGCACAGGGCUGUGGUCUUUGAGCAGUGAUAAGAGUUGAUAGAGUGCAGGCCCUGGAAUCAGACUGUUCCAGGUUCCAGUUCUCAUUUUUUUAUGUGUUAGAUGUGUGGUCUUCAGUACGGUUGUCUCAUGAGCAAAAAAUGAAAAUGAUGAGGCAUACCUCAGCUGGGAAUGGAAACCAAAUGUUAAUGUUUUGUGUAGUAUGCAGAGUGUGGUACCUUGGCUGUGGGCACAACUGGCAUCAUGUCAGUGAUGGGUGGUCACACUGUCAUGAUCACUGUGGGCAUCAUUGUGGCUGUCAUUGUGGAUUUUAUGACACUAGCAAGCAGGUCACGCAACCUCUCAGACUUCAGUCACAUCCUUCUCAUGAAUUGAGAAGCACACCUGAAGUGUGAUGUUUUAAGGAUUAAAUGGGAUUAUGAGGAGAUGUUUUAUAAACAUUUGUAAAUUGUUUUUACUAACAAAAAAAUGCUUAUAUUACAAAAACAAGAGCAUGCUUAGUCAGUGGCUCUUCAGAGUGAAUUUUAGUUUCAUUAGAAUCCUUUCUUCUGAAAUCUAGCUGAAUAUUAAGAAAGGGGUAAUUUUGGAGAUGCUGGAGUGAGGUGGUGGGCAGACCUAGGUAGAGCACAGCAGGUGGGGUCUGGUCCUCAUUCAGGAGAAAAUAGACACCAAACAUGUGAGCAGGACACCCCAGGCUUGGAAAGGCCUGGGCUCAUACUGAGUCAGUACACUCGCUUCGCUGAAGGACUUCAGAGGAAAGGAGGGAAACUGGCCAAUCAUUGCCACUUUGUCUUCUGUAGGGUGGAUCCAACAUCCAGCCUUUCUUUCUCUCAUGAACUCUCAACCUAUUCCAAGGAUCUCUCAUUUGUCUCCUGACCUACUGAGGCAGCCUCUAACUGGCCUCCUUUCAUCCAUGCCAGCCCCCUUCAGCCAUCGGCCGCAUCCCUACUCUGUAUCACACUCUGCUUAAAGUGAGGCUCCCAUGCUCCUAGGGUGAGAAAGGAAACUCCUCAGCAAGCCUGUAGGGCCCGAUGUGGCCUGCUCCUGGCCUUGCUGACCAGCCCUAUCUUGUCUACAGUGCACAGUUCUCAGUGUCCUUGUCACAUGUGCCUUCUCCCAUUCCCUCUAAGGGUUUGCUCCUGCUGACUUUACAUGCAUGGUUCCUUCUGCCGAGAAAGCCCUUUCCCCACUAGCACCAGCCCCUCUGCCCAGCCCCACACUUCACACUUCACCAAGGCUGGCCUCCUCACCCUCCAGAGCAUCAAGUGCACCAAGAUCAAUGGUACCACAUACUGCUCCUACUCAUUUUAUAGGCUUCCUCCUGCCUCUAGCCCCUUUGUUGGUCUUUACCAUGGAUUCGUAUGCUAACAAAUUACUUUUAUGGAGUAGACUUUGUUCUGUUGAAGAGAGUAUUGAAGGGUCAAAUAACUCCCACAAAGAUGUCAUGGGAUAAGUAGAUACCAUGCUGGGACAGCAAGAACCUGAGCUUUGGGGUAUGGAUUCUCAAGUUCAAACUCAAGAUCUAUCAUGUACUCUCUCUGUGGUCUUGGACAGAAUAGAUCAAGUCUCUGAGCUAAAUUUUACCAUGUAUAAGAUAUGAGCAAUAAAUGCCAAGGUGCAGGGUUCUUCUAAGGAUUCAGCGAAAUAACAUUAGAAACUCACAGGCAUUGGGUCUCAGUGAAUGGAGUUGAGUCUGAAGUUGAGUUGACUGUUGAGUAAAGCAAAGUUCUGGAAAGAUGGUGUCAUUAAAACCAAAUCCUCUGAUUAAAAAUUAGUCUGUUCUUCUGGUAUUACAGUAGGUGCUGGAUUUUCUACAUAGGAAACUCAUAGCUCCCGGGAAGCCUACAGGAAGCUUAUUAACCUGGCAUUGUAUAUGGCAUGGGUUGAAAAAGGGAAGACAGGAAGUUAGGAUCCCAAUUGUCCUAGUUCAGAAAACGUCUCGGGCCAAAAUUUGGAUGGUUAUAAAACUAGAAAUAAGGGGAAAAAUCUUUUAGAAAAUAAAGACUGCAUGGCCUAGCCACUGAUUGUUUUAUAAGGCAAAGAGGAAAAGGAGGAUUCUAUUAGGUAGGGUCUUGGCAGAGAACAGAUUGGCAGUUUGAGAGGAGUUAAAUGGAAGGACUCUUCACAAGUGUGUGAGAAGGACAUUAAGAAACAAAGAGAAGCAAGCAUGACCCAGUACCAGGAGCCUAGUAACUGUGGCUCAUGACCCACUGCUACCAUAACUGCCCCUAGCUGGACCCAGAGACCCAGCUGGCUAUGGGUUGAAGGCUGCCUGACAGGAACUGUGGCUGUGGCCCCAGGAAGGCAGCCAGCCUAGUUCCAAGGAAAGAACUAGGAUAAAUAUCCUGAUCCUCCUCUUCUCUCUCCCUCAGAUCUCCUAUGGGUACCUCCCAUUGGUCAAAUCCAAUCAGGAGCCAGAGGGCAAGGAAGGCAUUUGAUAGGUUCAUAAUGGUCAGCAGCUUCCCAGGGCACAGUCCAGAGUAGGGAAGCAGGCAGAACGGAUCUGGAGAGGUGAGGGAGUUCAGAAUAGAAGACACCCAGCACACGGGGCAUGAUGACCUUCCUCUGCUAAUGCCAUUGCCCAGAUCAAGAAAUCUAAGGAUCCCUGAAGACAGGAUCCUGACACACAAGAACGCAGUAGGAUGCCCUCUCUAGAAAUUCUACAUCUGCAAAACAGAUAAAGUAGAAGUGGUUAUUUACUCCACAAGGAUCGAGAUUGUUUUAAAACAGUGCUUCCCAAAUGAAUGAAGCAGUUGUUGACAGAUGAUUACCUGAGGCUAAGAAGGGGUUAGAGGAAUAACGUAAGGAACAAUUUUAAAAUCACCCAAAAUGACUAUAACACAUCUCAGAAAAAUCACAACGUGAUUUCAAGAGCACUUGGAUUGCGUAAAGGAAGUGAUAUCAAUUCUGAACUCCAGCUUUCCUAUCUGGCAAAAGCUUUAUCUUGCUGAGAUAGCAUCUGCUGUGGUGAACGGUCAACAACUGGCUAUUACCCAACUUUAGGCAGAAACCAUUGUAAAAGUACAGAAAACAACCAGAAGUAUCUGAACACCUUCGACUUUCUGGGUAUUUUGCCAGAUAAAUUCUUCCUUUGCAGUUCUUAAGGGCACAGACUGAAGUUAGGUUGCUGGACUCAAAUUCUAGCCCUGCUUGUACUUUCUGUGUAUCCUUAGGCAAGUCACUUACCUUCUCUGUGCCUCACUUCCUCAUCUCUAAUGAUAAUUACAAGGAGGCAAAUAAUAGUGCCUCUGUCAGAGAAGACAUAUAAAGAAUAAAUAAGUUAGUUGUGAAUUCCUUAAAACAGUGCAUGGCACAUAAAAAAGGUUUCUGAAAUAAAUAGUAUAUAUUAGUUUGCUAGGGCUACUGCACCAAAGUGCUACAAACUGGGUGGUUUAAACAACAGAAAUGUAUUGUUUUAUAGCUCUGGUGGCUAAAAGUCCAAAACGAAGGUGUUAGCAGGGUUCCUUCUGAAAGCUGUGAGACAAAUGUCUACUCGAGGCCUCUCCUUUGCUUGGAGAUGGCUGCCUUUCUCCCUGGGUCUUUUCACAUCACCUUUAUCCAUGUGUUUCUCUGUGUCCAGAUUCCCCCUUCCACAGGGACACCCUUCACAUUGGAUUAGGACCCAUCUAAUGAUUUCAUUUUAACUCGUUUAUCCCUGUAAAGACUCUAUUGCCAAAUACGGUUAUAUUCUGAGGUACUGAGGGGUAGGGCCUCAAAUAUGAGUUUGUGGGGACACAAUUCAAUCCAUAAUAGAGUGUUUGUUAAGGAAAUGACUCCUCAAGGAGAUUUUCUUGUGUUUUGGUUUCCCCUGAAUGUCAGCCACUGUCCACACUAGCGUGAGAUGCUAACAGUUGGUUACUAAAUGCAAGUCACUAAGUUUAUCUAUCUAGUCUUGAUGUUUAAACCCUCAUUUUGCUAUCCCUGACCCAUGGAGGUAGACCCUCUCUUCCUAAGAAUCUGAAGGGAAGUGCUCUUACGUAGGAGGUCCUCAAUGGGAAGACCCCAGUAAUUUAGUAUGUCCACAGCCAGUCUGUUUGCCACACUUUCCACCCCACCUGGUCAUUUCUUACAACUGUGGUGUUUCAAUAGUGUAAGGGAAGUUAGUCAUGACAUUUGUUUCCAAUCUUCCUAGUUCCUGGGCCUGUCCAACACAGGGAAUAAGAAUUGGAUUGUUCAUUUGUUUAUUCAUCAGGUAUUUACUGGACAGCAGCUCUGCACUAAGCAUAAUGCUGGAGAUACAACAGUAAAUAGAACCAAUGUGGCCUUUAAAAUCAUGGGUCACACAGCUGGGCAAAAUGUGCCUCCUGGUGGCCAAUGUAAAGGGACACGUCUUAUUUGCCCUACACCAGGUUUUUAGUGAAUUUGAAUUAUUUGCCAACAAUGGGAAAUUGGGAAAUCAGAAGUGGGAUUUCUAGCUCUCUUAAAAACAAAACAAAGUCGGAAGAUUUUGCAGCCCUGACCCAAUUUUUCUUCCUAACAGCAAUCAAUAGGAUUGCCUGCUUUGGAUGGGGUAUAUACUUAGUUUCUGGCUUGCCACAAUUAUCACUUCCUAUUAAAUUACACAGUGACAGCUUAAUAUUUUUAUGUCACCUUGCCACUGCAGUCCAGUAGAUGAUCCAUAAAACAUCAAAUAUGUAGAAGUGAUUCUUCACACAGAGAUGUGGAAGCUGCAGCACAUCUGUUAAUGAUUAUGGGAGAAAAUCCUGUCUGAAGUUAGCAAUUGAUUAACAUUGCCAUGAUAUUAAAGUCCUCAUGAAGUGAGCAAAACCCUGCCACAUGUCCUUAUUCCCCCAACUGACCCAUUCCCAGAAGGGUGAUGUCAUAUCCUGUUGGAUACAGUUAGGCAAAUAACAGGGCAAACAAUAUCCUGCCCUGACCUCCUGGAGGUCAGUUUUGUUUUCAGAGAACCUAGUAAAAGAGAGUAGGACACAGAACAAAGGAGGGCAAUUCUGGAUAACUGAUCCCAGAUCUGGGUACCUUUUCUAGCCCAAAAGAGGGAGUCUGAGGAGGCUGAACUGUUCCAGAGAAUGUUCUGACAUACGGGACAUGCCUGGUCCAGUUGAGAACAUCUAGUCAACAGCAUGAGCUCUGUAUGGGUUGGGUGAGUUUGAUUAGCCACCCAGCUAAGGGAUGACUGCUGAAAGGCCACAACAAUGAUUCCAUGUGGCUACUCACAACCUUUCCUCUGUCAUUAUAGAGUCCUCCUGCUUGAGAAAGUAGAUCAUGCCAACAUAAUUUCUUCUGUUUAGGGCAGAUUCUUCCUUAUUCCUCAGGAAGAAAUCAAGGUAGCAAAUAAUUCACAGAAAGCAAAGCACAGUGUCUGGCACAUAGUAGGUACUCAAAAGAUAAUUGAUGAGUUAACGCAUUCAUGAAAAGCCCACUCUCUCUAAUAAGCCCCAGGAUAAAGAUAGACAAAGAUCUCUUUCCUAAGCUCUAGGGUCAUCUUUCUGAUCAUCUGCUAAGAUGGCUACUAGAAUAUUCCCAAGGCACUUCAAAAUUUAAUAAAUUUACUCUCUUAAGAAAACAAAAGCAAAAAGCCUACCUUAGCUCUUACAGUCCCGGUUGAUCUAUAGAACCUCUAUCUACCCAGUCAUAAGUCAGUGAUCAGAAAGCAGUCUUCUGAGACACUUCCCUUUCCUCCACUCUCCUGUGUUCCAUCUGUCGCCACAUCUGGUCAUUUCUACCUCCCAAACAUGACUUGAACUCUUCCCCUCCUCAAUGACCAUCACUCCCUAAUGUCUCCUACACCAGGCAUGGCAGCCAUUGGAGGAAGAGGUUAGGGGAGCAGGAGUUGGUCUCAAGUUCAGAAAGAGGCAACUGAGCAGUACGGCCUACAGGAAAAAAUGUGAUUUCAGGCCAUAUGGACAGGAGGUGAGAGUCCCACUCUGCAGACCCUGAUCAGGCUCUGUUUGAAACAUUAUAUUCAGGGAAGACAGUGAUCAGCCCGUAUAUUCCCAGAAAAGAGUGACCGGAACAGUGGAAGGACUUGAAACAUGCUGGGGAGAGGAUGUUGAAGGAACAGUAGGAAGACGCCAGGCAGCUCCACAUGUUGGUUUUGUGUCUGCCUGAGAGUAUGGAUGGUCCCUCAGCGAUUUCAGAUUAGGUUUCACCUGGCUCCCUAAACAUCUCUUAGGCCUUUUUUCUAAGGGUGUCACCAGACAGACAAGGGGAACAUACAGGCUCCACAUGCCACCCUGCUGUUCCCAGGGGCUGUGGUGGCUGUUUGUGUGCCUGUGCUACAGCCCCACCUUCUCUCACAGCAGAAUGCUACUCUCUACUGCCUCUAUCAUUUCCAAAGCUUCGUCCUCACAUCUGCUUAAUUUUGUGCAAAGCACAGGUCUUUCUCCAUGGGCUGUUAUCUCUUGCCCUCACCAGGCCAGCAGGGCCGAUGAAGCAACUGCUUUGCAAUAGUCUAAUGACACAGCUGAUCUAUUUUAAGCACCUGAAGCACACUCUAUCAAGUGCCAAUCUUCCCGCUGCAAGCCACGCUCAGCUUGCAGCAGCAGGGGCAGCCCGAGGUCUAUUCCUGUGUUUUGAGAUAUGGGGAAACAGCCCAGGGAUCCCAGCCCUGCCAGUCUGGUGAUAGUCUAAAGCAACCAUAAAAUUAGAUAUUUUUCACAGUCAGCAUGAGUUGUUCUCGAAGGAGAGUUGCCUGUGAUGUUAGCAUUAUAUGGUGCAGGAACCUCAGGUGAUUAUAAAUCCCCCUUUCAACUGGCAGAGACAAAGCCUGGGCCUGUUACAUGCAGGGAGAAGGAACUUGAGAGGCAGCAUUUCAGGAACUGAAGCUCAAUCCCCAUCAGAAAUUCCUUAGACUCAGACUAAUGUUUUCUCCUCCUCCUCCUCCUAAUCCAGAGACUCUUUUCCAACUGCAGCCUGAGUGCAAAUGUUUUACAUCUAUUAUUUUAUUUAAUCCUUACAACAAUCUUACAUGGGCCUUCCUUGAAUUCUGUGUCUAGGGAAUAUCCCCAUGUUAUAUUUGCUCUCACUAUUCUUCACAGAGCUUACCACAGUCAGUGAUUAUUUUGUUCAUUAGCUCAUUUUCUUUGUUUCUUUCUCUCAUCCUCCUUUGUCUAUAAGCCACAUGACGAUUGUGUGACAAACCCUGUCUGUUUUGUUCACUGCUGAGUCCUGCACACUCAACAUGAUGUUUGAUGCAGAGUGAUGAUCACUUAUAAAAGCAUUUCUUGGACACAUGAAUGAGCCCACUUACGCUUCACAAAAGUCCUAGAAAGAGGACACUGACAUUGUUCUCAUUUUACAAAGAAGGAAAUUGAAGCCCAGAGAAGAGAUAUUUGGCUCCAAAUCGCAAAGUUAAGAAAAGUGAUAGAGCCUUGAGUGAAUAUGUGGAUGGAUUCAUUUAAUGAGGAAUACUUCAAUAUCCUCAUUUUACAUAAAAGGAAAAUGAGAUUCAAAGGUAAAUUGCCUGGAUAAAGUCACAUGAGCUAGGAAGCAGAGGAGCAGAUGUUUAAACUGUGUUGGUCUCACCCUGAGGCCUCCUUUCCCUCCUCCCUGCUCCUCCUUUUUACCAUCUUUUUGUAUUUUUACUGUGAUGGAGAUCUCCAGGGGAAACAUGGAUUGGGAUGGCUGAUCUUCCCGUUGGAUGCCCCAGCACUAUUCACUCAUUCACUCGGGCAGUGAAACAAAUCUUCACACUGUGAGACAGUGACAUUCCAUAUUCCAGGCACCAUGAAAUCAAUGAUGCACAGGACAGAGAACUGGACCUCAGACUGCUUCCAUCCAGCAUCUUGGAGGGGCAGACAGAAGCAUGCAUGACUGUGAUGUGAGAUAAACCAUGGCGGGUGCUGAGGGGGAAGGAAAGAGUACAGAGGAAGACAGGCCAAAUUCCUCUGGAAGGCCUGGGAAUGCUUGUUGGAGAAGGUUCCAUUCAAUCUGGUCCUUGGGGCAGGGAACAAACUUAUGUUGUGUAGGGUUGAAGGAAAAGAAAGAGGAGUCUAGAUGGGCUUACUCAUUCCUAGGCAGGCAUUCCACACACCCUAAUGCACAAUUCCUGAGUCCUGGGCCUUUGUCUGGGUACUGGGACGGAGACCGAAAUAAAAAGACAGAAAGCCCUCAUCGGGAACUGUUAGGAAGUCCAGUUUGUAUACGCUAGAGAAUAUGAGUAUGUGGACAGUGAGAAAACGCUGGGAGUUGGUGAGGAUCAGCUCUUUGAGAGGGUCAGAUGCCACGCUAAACAGUAUUUGUUACAAUCUACAGCCAAUGAGGAGUCAGGAGAGGUUUGGAGCCCAGUAGUGACCUGCCCAGAGCUGUGCAUUAUUUAGGAAGAUCUCCCCAGCAACACAUACCUCAUGCAUCAGAGGGCCUGGAGGCAGUGAGAGGCAGACCUAGUGCAGCAAUGCAGUUGUGAGUGGAUGCGAGGGAGAGUGUGGGGAUGCAGGGAGAAUGAGCUCCCAGUUGUUCUGCAGCCAAGCUGUGCAUUUCUGCAACUAUGCCCAUGGGUGGGCUUGCUGUAUAUUCUAAUACCCGGGACUGUGAAAACUGGUACUUUGAAAACUAGGUUAUUGACCAAACUGAGAAGGCUAGAUCGUAUAUUUGAUAAGAAGUUGAGCUAUAGAAUCAGACUGCCUGGGUCCAAAUUCCAGCUUGACCCUUAUUAGCUGUGCCGCCUUCAGAGAGUUGCUUUAUACCAGACCCCCAAACAUCAGCUUCCUCUUAAGAUGGGGAUGAUAGGUGAACUUUAAGUGAGUGAAUAUAUGUGAGAUGCUUAGCACAGUGCCUGGCACAUGGAAAAUACUCAGUAAUGAUUAAUAGUGAUAAGUAAUGGAACACAUUUGAAUGUACUAUUUUGGGAAAACCCCUUUUAAAGAUACAAAAUAACCAACACAUGCUAUUGUUAUGAUGUAGUCACCACUUGGUCAUUCCACUAGGAAAGAAGAGUGGUAUAUAUAUUGGUAACACAGGACUUUUUAAGCUAACAUUUAAGGAGCACUUAUUACAUGUAAGACCCUAUGCAAACAUUUUGCCUGUAUUAUCUCUUUCGGUCCUGGCAUGAGUCAGGUGUGAAAUGAAUGUUGGAGAGGGCAAUUCUGAUUAAGCAGGGAACAUGUCACGUUAGUCCAGGGACUGGCAAACCUUUCCUGUAAAGGGAUUUGCAAGCCACACAGUCUCUGUGGCAUGAAAGCAGCCAUAGACAAUGUGUAAAGAAAUGGGUAGAGCUGUGUACCAAUCGAAAUGUAUUUAGAAGAAUAAAGGUGAAGGGUGAUUUGGCCCGUGAGCUGGUUUGCUGACCCCUAUACUAGAUGACCUCGAAGGUCUUUUGCAACUUUGAGAUUCUAGUCUGAGAUGCUAGUCCAAAAUGAUGACAAAGAAAUGUUCAAUCCUUCUAAUUCAGUUUAUCUCUGUAAUCACAAGGGGUGUUACUUCAAAUAAGAUAGAGAAGGUCAUUGGGAAUAGACACAGAGAGGACCAGAAAGCGUUCCAUUCUUUGUGUUGCCUUCAUAGUCAGCACACCUCAUUAACUCACACUCUGAUAUUAUAUGAGUCUUCUCAAGUUGCCAUUAAAUGACAAGCUGCACAGGCUGCCCUGGGAUCUGCAGAGUACACAGUUCUUCAGAGGCAGAGAAUGAUACUCAGACCAGAGACUUUCACAUUUGGGAAGGAACAUACAGGACAAUAUUCUAUGCCAACACUUCAGUAUGUGGAGCAAAUCCUCCCCCUUUGCUCCCGAUUCACAUUUCCUACUCACAGCCCACAUGCCUUGUAGCCUAAUAUGAUAGCCAGGGUGUCUGCUCAGCAUGUUUUAUCCUUCCUCCUUCUGAUUCUUUAUAAGAAUUUCUCUCCAUCUCCUUGUCAUACUAAUGGACUGUCACCAUGGUGUUCUGUCCCCCACCCCCCGCCCCUGAGAAUGACAUAUGACUUAUGCUAGCCAAUCAGAGUUUCCCAUCCACCUUGGCCACAAGGAUUUGCUCAUCAGUGGAAAUUAAACCCAAGACAGGCCAAUCAGAGUAUUCCCUGGAAUUGGAUAGGGAGAUAUUCAGAAGAAGAAGUGUUUAUUCCAUUGAGAUUGCUGAGCUAGGGAGAAAAGAGUGUGGGAAUACCAGUGGCCAUGAUUGUCAAACAUGAAGAAGCCAUCUGCAAAAUAAAGUCUUAGCUCUGACCAUAUAGGAAAGCCCCUAAUCCAGCCAUACCUGAAGGCAGAGCCACCUCAGACCCCAGACUUCCCAGUUGCAAGAACCAACAAACUCUCUUUUUGCUUAAACUGGUUUCCACUGGGUUUCUGUAAAGUACAACUGAAAGGGUACCAACAAAGGCACUUUUUAAAAAGCAUUAUUUCCAGUUGGCAGUUGCCCUUAUAAUGACCUCUAUUUAUCAACAGCCCAGCCAUCUUUAGGCUUAAAUAUUCUUCCACCCUGCUACCUCUCAUUCACUCCUGAAGUGAUUUUAUUCCCUCCUCUGAAGUCCUUGGCCCUUAGUUUAAAACAUUCUUAUAAUUACAGGUCAUUUGCUGUGAGUCAACAUAAUUUAUUCAUGUGCAUUUCUUAGUGCCCUCUUUCAGAUUAUAAACUCCUCGAAGAUAGAAAUCACGUGUCUAUGGGGUGUAAUGUAUUUGUUCCCCAACUGCAAGCCAAAGAUCACUGUGGAGCCAUGGAAUUAUUGCUGGAGCUUACAAAUCCAUGUGUGCUCCUAAUUCAAAUGCAUAAUGCCUGUCAAAUGAAUGUGUUUGAAAAAAGUCAAUAUGGCAGAAAGCUAACAUGUAAGUAUUACUUAAAUGUGAUACUAAUAUACAGAGGAUAACAAAUAUUUUUUAUGUUAAAAAAGGAAUCCUCAAAUGAUCUAAAUGUGGUUGCAUGGUUGUAUAUAUAUGUAAAACAUUUUGAGCUGUAUAUUUAAGAUUUAUAUACUUGACUCUAUGCAAGUUAUGCCACAAUAAAAAGUAAAAAAUAAAAUAAAAAUAAGAAGUCCUUAUACUUGACAAGUCUAGUCAACCAUCACUAGUACUGUUACAAGAUCAAUACCAAUACACUAAAAUUAAUCCAGGAUAGAUCACCGACCUAAAUAAACCAAAAGCUAAAAUUACACAGCUUCUGCAAGAAAAUGUAGGAGAAUAUCUUACAACCUCAAGGGAGGCAAUGACUUCCCAGAACACUAAAAUUUGUAAAAAUGGGCAAGAAUUCUAACAGACACAUCACAUGUACAAAUGGUUAAUAAGCACAUAAAAAGGAGCUUAACAUCAUUAGUCAUGUUAAAUGCAAAUUAAAACCACCUUUUUACAGCCUCCCAAAUGGCUAAAAUUCUGGUGAAAAUGUAAAAUGGCACAACAACUAUGGAAAACUGAUACAGUUUUAUAAAAAUUCAACAUACACCUACCUAUGAUCCAGCAAUGCCUCUCCUAGAUAUUUCCCUGUGAACGAUAAGAACAUAUAUCUGCAAAAAGAUUUAUGCAAGAAUGUUGCUGUCAGCUUGAUUCAAAAUAAUCCAAAGCUGGAAACAACCCAAAUGUUUAUAUAUAGACAAAUGGAUAAACAAUCUGUGAUUAUAUUUACACAAUUGUAUACUAUUCAGCAAUAAAAAGGAACAAACUAUUGACACAUGCCAAAACAUGAAUGAAUCUCAGAAACAUGCUGAGUAAAAGAAAUCACACAUAAAUGAGGGCAUACUGUAUGAUUCCAUUUAUAUGGAAUUCAAGAAGGCAAAACUAAUCUAUGUGGACAGAAAUUAUAACAGAGUUUGCCUUUGACUGGGGGAGGGGUGAUUGAUUGCAAAAGGUUGCAGAAAAUUAUCUAGAGUGAUAGAAAUAUACCUUAUCUUGAUUAAACUGUUGUGGGCUAUACAUUUGUCAAAACUUAUUGUAUUUAAAAUCUAUAUGUUUCAUUAAUUGAAAAUCAUGCCCAAUUUAAACAUAUAUGUGUGUAUCCCCUUAAACAGAGUAUGUGUGUAUAUACCUAUUCCCUUAGAUAGAAUAGGCUUGGAAACAGAAGAACUAACUUGAGAUCUCAGCUCUCCUGCUAACUCUGUGACCUCUGAGGCCAGUAUCCUUAUCAGUUCUGUGGCUCCAUCCUAUCAGCCUUGCUUACCUCAAAGAGCUGUUUCAACUAUGUAACACCUGUAAAAAUUUUUGGUAAACCUUUAAGCGUUGUACAGCUCAAGAACCUCCUCUCCAACUUAUUUUGUGCAAGCAUCUCCCUGGCCCUGAUGUUCUAGCUGCACUGGCCUCCCUAAACUCACCAUGUGCUUUCCAGCCUCUGGACCCUUCCUUGCAAAUGCUGUUUCUCCAUCUCAUUUGUACUUAUCCCUGGUUUUCCACAAACAGCCCUCUCCCAUCCUUGUAGUCUCAGCUGAAAUGUUUUACCUUUAGAUUACCUGUCCCCACCCCUUAUUUAUUUCCUUCAUUCUAUUUGUCACACUUUGUAAAUAUCUGUUUACUUGUCACAGACCCUUCCCACAGAAUGAUAAACUCCCAAAGCAUAGCAAACAUUAGCAAACAAGACUGUUUUAUUCACUGGAGUAUCCCCAGUUCUUAGCACAUAGAAAUUACCCAGUAAGGCUAGGAACAGUGGCUCACUUGUAAUCUCAGCACUUUGGAAGGCCAACGUGGGUGGAUCGCUUGAGGUCAGGAGUUCAAGACCAGCCUGGCCAACAUGGUAAAACCCCAUCUCUACUAAAAAAAAAUCACAAAAAUUAGCCAGGCAUGUUGGUGCAUGCCUGUAAUCACAGCUACUCAAGAGGCUGAUGCAGGGAAUCACUUAAACUGGGGAGGUGGAGGUUGCACUGAGCCAAGAUUGCACAUCUGCACUCUAGUCUGGGCGACAGAGUGAGUGAGACUCCGUCUCAAAAAAAAAAAAAAGAAAGAAA
Pan troglodytes (chimpanzee) is the source of this 17713-nucleotide long non-coding RNA. RefSeq lists it as uncharacterized. The record is from RefSeq and is a predicted model, not a curated record. NCBI's taxonomy places the organism in Eukaryota, Metazoa, Chordata, Mammalia, Primates, Hominidae. The transcript has 2 exons.